RNAcentral lists this ribosomal RNA (402 nucleotides) under uncultured eukaryote. RNAcentral describes it as "partial small subunit ribosomal RNA". It matches the Rfam family "Eukaryotic small subunit ribosomal RNA", at positions 30 to 432 of the family's 1831-position model. The record is from RNAcentral.
GCUUGUCUCAAAGAUUAAGCCAUGCAUGUCUAAGUAUAAAUACCUUAUACUGUGAAACUGCGUAUGGCUCAUUAAAUCAGUUAUAGUUUAUUUGAUGGUACCUCACUACAUGGAUAACCGUAGUAAUUCUAGAGCUAAUACAUGCGCUAAGUCCCGACUUUACGGAAGGGAUGUAUUUAUUAGAUAAAAAACCAACCGCCGCAAGGCGUUUUUUGGUGAUUCAUAAUAACUAAUCGGAGCUCAUGGUCUUGCACCGGAGCCAGGUCAUUCAAAUUUCUGCCCUAUCAGCUUUCGAUGGUAGUGUAGUGGACUACCAUGGCUUUAACGGGUGACGGAGAAUUAGGGUUCGAUUCCGGAGAGGGAGCCUGAGAAACGGCUACCACAUCCAAGGAAGGCAGCAGG